This 117-nucleotide ribosomal RNA is filed under the name Cebus imitator (Panamanian white-faced capuchin). The record is from RNAcentral. Lineage: Eukaryota; Metazoa; Chordata; Mammalia; Primates; Cebidae.
GUCUAUGGCCCUACCACCCUGAACACGCCUGAUCUCAUCUCAUCUUGGAAGCUAAGCAGGGUUGGGACUGUUUAGGUUUUUUUUUUUUGACAGAGUUUCACUGUUGUUGCCCAGGCU